Molecule: transfer RNA, 76 nt
Filed under: Maribacter sp.
Lineage: Bacteria; Pseudomonadati; Bacteroidota; Flavobacteriia; Flavobacteriales; Flavobacteriaceae
Description: tRNA-Thr
Rfam family: tRNA
About the family: Transfer RNA (tRNA) molecules are approximately 80 nucleotides in length. Their secondary structure includes four short double-helical elements and three loops (D, anti-codon, and T loops).
Source: RNAcentral
GCUACUGUAGCUCAGAUGGUAGAGCAGGAGUUUUGUAAACUUCAGGUCGUUGGUUCGAUUCCAAUCAGUAGCUCCA